This 508-nucleotide ribosomal RNA is filed under the name uncultured bacterium. Its description in RNAcentral is "partial 16S ribosomal RNA". It matches the Rfam family "Bacterial small subunit ribosomal RNA", at positions 28 to 523 of the family's 1533-position model. The record is from RNAcentral.
GAUGAACGCUAGCUACAGGCUUAACACAUGCAAGUCGAGGGGAAACGAUAUUGGAAGCUUGCUUCCGAUAGGCGUCGACUGGCGCACGGGUGAGUAACGCGUAUCCAACCUGCCCAUCACUUGGGGAUAACCUUGCGAUAGUAAGACUAAUACCCAAUGACGUCUCUAGAAGACAUCUGAAAGAGAUUAAAGAUUUAUCGGUGAUGGAUGGGGAUGCGUCUGAUUAGCUUGUUGGCGGGGUACCGGCCAACCAAGGUGACGACCAGUAGGGGGUCUGAGAGGAAGUUCCCCCACAUUGGAACUGAGACACGGUCCAAACUCCUACGGGAGGCAGCAGUGAGGAAUAUUGGUCAAUGGGCGAGAGCCUGAACCAGCCAAGUAGCGUGCAGGAUGACGGCCCUAUGGGUUGUAAACUGCUUUUAUAAGGGAAUAAAGUGAGAGUCGUGACUCUUUUUGCAUGUACCUUAUGAAUAAGGACCGGCUAAUUCCGUGCCAGCAGCCGCCGUAA